UGUCAUAUGCGAAUUUGUAAAUUUAUAUAUUUUUUGUAGUAUCUUGGAGAAGUGAAAAAGAAUAUUAAUUACUGUAAAAUGGGGUUACUUUGUGACAGUUUUUAAGGUUUUACUCGCACGGGCCAGACAGUGUAAAUUAUGAAGUUUAAUAAGUAAUACCAAGAAGUUGCUGAAACCUUCCAAUUUGUGGCCAUAUGUUAUACAAAUAAAUAUGUUCAACAGGAAACCAUUAUAUGAGUGUUACACAUUGUCACAAGGUUACCCCACUGGAUGGGCUACUGUGUGACAAGCUUUGUUUUUGCUUCGAAACACAUGGAAAAAUAAUCACUGACACAAAGUUACCCCAUCAGAUGUUUGUUAAAAAGCAAUAUACAAGACAUUGGUUUAUUGUUUGACAACAUAAAGAAUUUACAAAGGUAGCUACUUAAUCUAAAAAUAAAUCUUUAACAUUAAAAAAGACCUCGCUUUCCUACUGGUGUUGGAAGUGUUAUUUUCAUACAGAACUUACUCCGUUGAAUAAUAAAUGGAAUCGUCUUGUUCUGGCAACUUGCAGCAUUUUUUUCACCAUUCCAUUUCGCUUACCAUGUAGCCUCCUUGCUUGAUAUCAGUCACUCUUCCAGGGAACAUUUCCCCUUCGAAGUUCACUACCACAAAGUCAUCAAGUUUGAAUGUGCAUUCAGGGGACUUCUUAGUGGCCCUUUUCAAGUGGUGCACGUUUCUUGUGUCUCGAUGUAACUUACCAAUAGUCGAAGGUGCGUCUCUGUCUCAUGGCUCAUCUGAUGAACUUUCACAGAGAACUUCCGAGUCACUCACUCAAAUCUUCAUCGGUCCACUUGAUGAUUUCACUCUCAUCUGAGGACUUGACCUUAUCAGUGACUCUUCUUGAGACUUCAGAACACUUUUCCUUCAGCUGCUGAGUAUUGCCGGUACCAGGACUUGAAGAUUUCACCUUCGUCCUACCAAUGGUCGCUUCUACUACUGGUAUGCUGAUUUUAUGGUUGUAUAAUUAUACUGUUUACAUAAAUACUACAAUUAACGUCAAAUGACGCCGUAAUGUAGCCAACAUAUUAACAGUCAGGCGUACAUACAUGUUUUCUGGUGUUCUUUCACAUGAAUGGCUCUAGAACACGACGUUUACAACAAUUCAAACAAUGGUUCCAAAGCUGGUUUCAAGACAAACGCAGUGCCAACGAACAAAAGAAGCGCAGCAGAUUCAGCUGGCUGCCGCAAGAUGGUGCAGCACUGCAGGCAAGCUGCUGGAGCUAAUCUUUGGUUUCUAGGCAUCUUGGACGCAGCGGGAGAUUCAAAAUAAGCGAAAAUUAACAUAUGUCAUAAAGUAGCCCCUACAGUCACAAAGUAACCCCAUUUUACGGUACAAUUUUUCUUGUGUGAAAUAAAUCAACUGAACUUAAAACUUCUUUUGUCUGCAGAGUAAGAAGAUAGAUACUUAAAUUUCUCAAUCUUAAUGAGCUGUAUUCUUAUGAAGAAUAAGAAGUACCAGUAAAUACUGUUGUAAUAAUACUGUAAAUAUGUUACUAUGCAAUUAUUGACUCACAGAGUAUGAAACUAUAUGAAGUCAUCAAUUUAUAUCUUUUCAGAUUCAAAAAUCAGUUAAAUUGAAGAUGGAAAGAAAUAAGAAAUUAUUAUUCACAGGACCACACAAUCUCAUCCAAAUGUGCGCAUUGUAUUGCAUGUGGGGUAUUAUAGGGAGACUACACAUCUAUGACUGUGAAGUGUAGUAGAUAGCAAUGCAACUGUAAUGUGUCACAUAGCAUGAUGCACCUUUUGCCCUAUUAAUAUUUUAUAACAUUGGCAAUGGACAUUUCCUUGAUGUCAGUUCAUUCGUUUAUUUUGCUGUUCGGGACCCACAAUUUUUGUUUCGUGUUUAUUCAUCCUUUUUUAAUAUGUGGGACUAUCCAAAAUUAACAGAUUGUUGCAAACGCAACAAAAUACUUUUAGUACAUCAUACAAAAAAUUCUGAUUUUUACCCGAGUUUAAAAAUCAACAUGUACUAUACUCUUUGAGUUAUCGACUAAAAAUAUUUGUCAUUGUCAUUAAAUUAAUACCUGAUCGUUUCUGCAACAUUGUUCAAAAAGUCAUUCAUUUGGGUAUACGUUUGUAAAGCUGUAUAUUGUAUUUAUCGACAUAAAACUCUCUUUGUGCGUAGGUCAAACGUUCCAGUUCAUAGCGAUAAUGUCGUAUAGUACAGUCGGUGACAGAAUUCACAAGACCCCUUGCCUCAUUGUAAUGCUGAGCUUCAAAACUUGCUCUCUGUUAACACAGCAUCAUGCGCAAGGAGAGAGGUGCUAUCGUCAUAUUACAGGCAUGCAGUCGAAAAAGCAGUCUGACCAUUGUGAGAAUGUUCUAGGUAAAUAUAGGAGAUUAUAUUGCUACUGAUUCAUGUAUGUCUCACGCUUGUCUGUCGCGUCCAACAAACUAACGAAAAAAAGCAAUUUUUUAUGGAAUUAACAAAUAAAACCGAACUAAAGGUUAUGAUUAUAGCUUUACAGAACAGUAUUUUUAAUAAAAUAAAGUAUCCCAAAUUGUCACAAAUUAGCAGGCUAAUAUACAUUUUUGCCUUCGAAACAGUCUGUAUCCAUGUUCUGUCCACAGUCAUACUGAAGUAAGGAAGUAACGUUACGGAUCCACCAAGAACCUAUGCAAGUCUUGUAGCAGCAGUACACACAUAAGAAAAUGCACUUAACAGUUCAUUCAGUGCCACAAUUAGGUUUAUGCAGUUGACAGAAGCAGAAGAAGAAGUCGCUAUCAACUGUGCAAUUCAGAAAAUUUUUAACCUUAUAACAUUUCAGCUCCUCAACACCAAAUUAAAACGUUCCACUUCAAUUUGUUUGCACUUAUAGCGAUCCCAGCUUCCUCAACCAAAUUAAAACGUUGCAUUAGGAGGUGUCUGCUUCGUGCAAAGGUCUUGAGUUCAUAUUGACGACAACAAGUAAUUCUUCAUUACAGACGUUUAUUUACAAACAAAACUGACAGACUUCACAGACUCAACAACUGACUCUCCGAGCUAACCGCACUGCAUAUCCGAACUGGCAACUGACAACUCCUAGGUGUAUUAAUAUCUUUCCAAACAAUGAGAGUCUUUGACAAUGUUUUGUUUACAAUACGAUAGGAAUUCACGACUUAAAACUAAAUUAGACAUUACAGAAUUUUAGUACAGAUUAAAUACAUCACAUGCUCAGGGAUUUGUCAUUGGUGGGAGGACAGGAGCUGGGUGCACUCAGCCUCGUGAUGCCAGUUAAGAGGUUGCGGCGCCAUGAGCGAAAAACCAAAAGCACAUCAGUUGUACCCACUGAAAUAGCCAAAGAAAUCAUCAGUUACAGUAAAAAUACUACAUCACAUUCAACAAAUGAAGACUGAAU
Long non-coding RNA from Schistocerca gregaria, 3380 nucleotides. RefSeq lists it as uncharacterized. The record is from RefSeq and is a predicted model, not a curated record. The transcript is spliced from 3 exons. Lineage: Eukaryota; Metazoa; Arthropoda; Insecta; Orthoptera; Acrididae.